UACAGAGGUGGCAAGCGUUGUUCGGAAUUACUGGGCGUAAAGGGCGCGUAGGCGGCCUUGUAAGUCCUGUGUGAAAUCCCCCGGCUCAACUGGGGAACUGCACAGGAGACUGCUUGGCUUGAGUUCGGGAGAGGGAAGCGGAAUUCCGGGUGUAGCGGUGAAAUGCGUAGAUAUCUGGAGGAAUACCGGUGGCGAAGGCGGCAUCCUGGACCGGCAUUGACGCUGAGGAGCGAAAGCCAGGGGAGCAAACGGG
Molecule: ribosomal RNA, 253 nt
Filed under: uncultured bacterium
Lineage: Bacteria
Description: partial 16S ribosomal RNA
Rfam family: Bacterial small subunit ribosomal RNA
Source: RNAcentral